Molecule: unclassified non-coding RNA, 378 nt
Filed under: uncultured Chlamydiales bacterium
Lineage: Bacteria; Pseudomonadati; Chlamydiota; Chlamydiia; Chlamydiales
Description: contains 16S-23S intergenic spacer region
Source: RNAcentral
UCCUAGUUAACCUAGGCAGUCUCAUUAGAGUUCCCACCAUUACGUGCUGGCAACUAAUGACAAGGGUUGCGCUCGUUGCGGGACUUAACCCAACACCUCACGGCACGAGCUGACGACAGCCAUGCAGCACCUGUGCAGAGACCCCGAAGGGAGACACCAUUUCUGAUGCUGUCCUCUGCAUGUCAAGCCUGGGUAAGGUUCUUCGCGUUGCAUCGAAUUAAACCACAUGCUCCACUGCUUGUGCGGGUCCCCGUCAAUUCUUUUGAGUUUCACCCUUGCGAGCGUACUCCCCAGGCGGUAUACUUAAUGCGUUAGCGUCGGCACAGUUAGGGUUGAAUCCAACUACACCUAGUAUACAUCGUUUAAGGCAAGGACUAC